CCCUUUUUCAACAUGUAAUUGGCCAACAUAGGAAUAAGAAUGUCAUAGGCUUUUUUUUCAGCAAGAUAUUUCCAAAACUAUGUGCAUGAGAGUUAACUUGUGUAUUUUGCAGUGUUAAUUUUGUCAGAAAUCAGCAUUCCAGUGUUCCUUACAAGACCUAUCCCUUAGCUUCCUACCCUGCCCCAUGGUGAUGGCCCACUCUGAUCUCCUGAUUGAUAUACAAGUUGGGGAAUGGGAGGCAAGAGAUUCUGAAAUAGGAAAGAUCACAGUGGUGAACUACAGUUCAGAUGAAUCUCUUGUCCAAUUUCUCUGAUGUCUCUCUUCUGUUUUGGUCUUUCUCCUAUAGCUUUCUCUCUUUUAUCAGGAAUUCAGAGUCUGAAAGGUAGAUUUCACCAUAGCAUGGGCAAGCAGAGUCUUAUUUUCUCCUUUCUCUGAAUUAUCCUGCGGUCAUUCUUACCAAUGCCACACCUUUUUUCCUAAUACCCCCAAUUUUUUCACUAAUCAAUUCACAUUGGAAUUCAGAAAGACUAACAUUAUAGCAUUCACCAAAAUAAGAUUUUAGGUUUACUUAAAUAAUAGUCAAAUUAUCAGAUAUUUCAUAAAGCAGAAUGAGCAGUGGCAGUUUCAGAUGCUUAGUGUGUGCAGAAUACCUUAUCAAGGGCCAUUCUUUUCAUCAAAGAAAAAGCAUCCAAGUGCUUUGCAGGGACCCAUCAUGGUGGUAACCACUGUUUGGGCUACUGAGUGACCCAGCAGGCCUUCCAGAACUGAGAGGAUAAACAAAGAUGUCAAGACCAUCUGGCCAGCUUGUGCUGUGCCAGCUGCUGACAUCUGGACUGUUCCUUGCCUGAUGGAUUGACAUUUGAACGGUCUUGGGGAAAGUGCAGGUACAUUCUUUGUCUAGCUUAGCACAUAAACUGCUUCCUCCUGCGGUGGUGUGAGGGACCUGCCAGGUCCACUGUGACCAAGACGUGCUUUCUUCUGUGAGCGCUAGUAAACUGCAGUCUGUGAAGUCCUGCCUGUGCUUGUCUGUCUCUUUCUUCAAUCUCUUGGCACUGCCCACCUUUGGUGAUUGAACUGGGUUUUCCUGAAUAUGACCAUACACCUUCACGUUGGAAUUGUUAUCAUACCCCACUGUGUGAUAGAGGAAGUGGGUCCCUCCAAUGCAAGAAGGAUCCUCCUGGUCCUCUAAGUGAGCAAGUGCAGUGAGAUGGUAAUAUGGGAUGAAUUCUGAGGUCUGUCCAAGACUGAAGACUGAACGUGGAAGUCUUUACGGUCCAUAGAACUAACCAUUUACCCUGUGAGGGAAGGUCAAGGCAACAGAAGUGCCAGAAUGUGUUCUGGAUACCUGACACUUACAGGUCUCCAAAGAGCCCCAGGGACAGUCAGUGGAGGACUGGACAGAGAAGAUGGAUGAAAUCUUUCAUUAGUAAACAGAGUAUUGUAUUGUGCAAGCCAAAGAGAAAAUGGUUCAGGGAAAAAGGAGUAUAGUCUGUGGGAGGGAACUCAUGAGGUUACCAGGAAGGGGUGUGACAUCCAUUAGCUGUGGCCACGCGGGGACUAGAAGACCUGGACCAGGUGGUGAAGAAAGAAGGUCUACUAACAGUAAGUUCAAGAGAGGGUUGUGGGGGAGUGGAAAUGAAAACUAGGGGCAUUGACAUGUUCUAGAAUUUUCGAUGUUUUGGAAUGAAGAGCAGAGAAAUGGCACAAUGAAUGAAGGGAGAUGUGGAAAAGAAGGACAGCUCUUAUGAUUCAAUUCUGGAUUUGCAAGAGAGGGGACAUGUUGGUCUGCUGAUGGGAAUGGCCUGCUAAAGAGGGGGCAAUGGCAAUGCAAGAGAUAAGAAGAGAAAACUGCUGGAAUAAAUUACCCUCAUAUACAAGAAAGGAUCUUAUCCAGAAUAUAAAUGGAAGUAUUGACCUUAGCUAUAACAUACAGUGUGGUGUGCCUGAGCUGGGGAUUGAGAUGCUUAACCUCAGUGAUUUCCUACAGGAGUGAGGGCCACCUCUGUUACUCACAGUGAUUACUUACAAGAUCAGGCAGUCAAAUCUUGCUUAAAGUGAUCAUGUCUCCUAUCAUCUAUUUUAUUUUUGUUCUUAAAUGAUUCAGGAUCCCUAAUAUGAGUGUAAUGUUCUGUGUAUUAUAGAAAAAGUAGACUGAUAGGCUAUUUUCUCUUCAGCUUAUCUUCGCAAUAAUAUUAGCCCUUGUUUUAUCCACACACUGUAGGAGAUGCAUUGAUCAGGAUCAUUGGGAAUAAAAGGUAAAGAGUAAUUUGAGCAGGCAAGGUUUAAGUAAAGAAUUUCCCACUAUUCACAUACAGGGGAUUAGAUACUAAAAAAGAAAUGGGACAGAACCCUAGAGAAUGCUCUGGGACUGAAAGGAAUAUACUCAAGUACGAAAAAACUAGGAAGGGUGUCACCAUGCUAGGAUUUGCACCUCAGUGGGUGGGGGUGACAGUCUAGUGGGUGGCAGGACACUCUUUUGGGUACCCUAGGAUGGUCCACACAGCCCUUAUUGGUCUCCCCUUACUUGGCGUGAGCUGUCUGGCAGGGCUGGGGAGCAGGAUGCCUCCUCCAGAGUGCUGGUUAACUGGACAAUGGGCUCGGCUGGACAACCAGGAAUCCUCUAUGGAGAACAGGCAGGACCAGACUGGCAACAAGACAGCCAAAGGCAAGAAACUCACAUCACCAGAGGAAGUCUAAAGUGUGUGCAAGGAAUGGCCACCAGAAGAUGAGGGCCACUGUGUACAGUCCACCGCAGAAGCAGCAGGUGGCUUCUUCCACCUGCAGAGCCCCCUCCCCAUGGCCCUGCUGCUGACCACAGAAGAAAGGUGAUUUCAUCCACCUCCAGUUUCACACGCAGGUCACUGAAGUGUAGACACAGAGCCAAGAGAUAGUCGGGGAUGGUACCAGCAAUGAAAUGUGACCUUGAACACAGUUAUCGUGUUCAUUACAGACACCCAGGGGUCUGAAGGGCUCUCUCAUCUUCUAGCUAUUAACCAGUCUAGAGACAUGGCUUCAAAUUGAGAAGGAGAAUCACUGCAUUUGGCUACAUAUUUACCUUUUUUUUUUCAAGCAUCAAUGAUUUCCUCAGCUUCCACAAUCAACUAGGAUGGAAUUUGAAAAUGUAGGUGACAUGAGACUUGCUGUCAUAAAACUGAGGUAUCAGAAGACAAGAGAGCCAUCUGUCAGAUCAUCAUCAUCAUCACAACAUCCAGAGGAAAGUAAAACCCCCACGGUGCUGACUGGCAUGAAGGAGGUUGUAUUUUAGGAGAAAAAUAGCCUGGCUGACACAAGAAGCUGGUCAUAAUGAUCUUCCUGAGAAUUUGUGGAGUUCUACCACGUAUGAAUACAACUAAGUGGGAAGACGGGAUGUGGUGCUGCCUGGGUUUCAAUCCCCCUGUUAAUCCCAUACUCCACUAACCAGUGUGAUGAACUGGAUUAGGGGAUGCAGUGUUUUACCCCCCAUGGCGAAACAGAUAGAUAGAUUUUUCUGGGUGAAAAAGAAGACACUAAUAACUGAAGUGUGUGAUGUUGUAAGUUAAAAUUCCCAUUUAAUUGCAAAAGUGGGAAGGUGCGUACUGAGAUCUACUGUAAGAUGCAAUUCAUCUUACAGAAGAGUUUUGAUGCUGAUGCUUCUUUUGGAAAUGAGAUUUAUUUCCAGGUGUGAUGGUGUACUCCUGUCAUUUCAGCAACUUGGAGGUUGAGGCAGGAGGACCGCAUGUUCCAGCUUGCCUGAGCAAUUAAGCUAGACCCCGUCUCAAGAUAAAAUAAAAGGGCUGGGAUGCAGCUCAGUGGUAGCAUGCCCUUGGGUUCAAUUCCCUCAAAUUAAUUAAGGACUGCCAGAACAAAAAUAAUUUUUAUGAAACAAAAAAUAAAAUGUUAUUAUUGGAAUAUCUUUCAAACAA
This is a non-coding RNA of Marmota flaviventris (yellow-bellied marmot), 3902 nucleotides long. NCBI's taxonomy places the organism in Eukaryota, Metazoa, Chordata, Mammalia, Rodentia, Sciuridae. The record is from RefSeq and is a predicted model, not a curated record.